This 110-nucleotide small nuclear RNA is filed under the name Nomascus leucogenys (northern white-cheeked gibbon). The record is from RNAcentral. Lineage: Eukaryota; Metazoa; Chordata; Mammalia; Primates; Hylobatidae.
GUACACCUUCUGCCGUUAACACAUAUACUAAAAUUGGAAUGAUACAGAGAAGAUUAACAUGCUCCUUGCACAAGGAUAACAUGCAAAUUUGUGAAGUGUUUCAUUUAAAA